RNAcentral lists this small RNA (308 nucleotides) under Octodon degus (degu). RNAcentral's name for it is "7SK RNA (ENSODEG00000022510.1)". The stretch from base 1 to 191 matches the Rfam family "7SK RNA". Rfam says of the family: 7SK was discovered as an abundant small nuclear RNA in the mid-70s but a possible function has only recently been suggested. Lineage: Eukaryota; Metazoa; Chordata; Mammalia; Rodentia; Octodontidae. The record is from RNAcentral.
AUAUGUGGGAGUGAUCUAGCUGCCAUAUCUCUCCCCACAGUGCUGAUGUGGCUGACUUGUUGGUCUAGGAAGGUGCCCCCUUCCUCCCUCACUAACCCGUGUACAUCCAUCCUGAAGCUGCACACUUGAUAGAAGAGGAUGACUAUCCCCAAUAGAAGAGGAUCAUUUCCUCGGUCAAGGAUAUACAAGUAGGUGUGCCAUAACAUUGGCCGGUGCAAGUCUAUAUCAGGAGGCCAAUGGGUUUGCGUGGAAAGUCUGAAGAGUCAGUGCUGGAAGACUGAAAGCUAUAUGCUGAAGAGUCUGUGCUG